UUGGACAGGCUCCAGCAACGCCCGUUACCCUUGUGAGGAUAAAGCGGUCCAGAAAAUGGACAGAUGGCUGUAGUGCGCCAUUAAAAAGAGAUUCUGAAAGAAAACUGCAAACCAAACUGUUGGGGUGGAUCCUUGUUGAGCACUGCAGCCUUGAGCAAAACACAGAAACCCUUCCUUAGCUGAAAUCAGCAUUCUUGAAUUCUUUUUGACAGGUAUGCACAUUAGAUAAAACCAUAGAAACAGAAUCCUGAUUUGAGAUUUAAUGAGCACAAAGGAAAUAAACCCGCAUUAAAAAAAAUCAUGCAACAGAAAUACUGUACAUUUUUCAAUUUUUUAUUUUAACAUCAAGC
Molecule: long non-coding RNA, 350 nt
Organism: Hippocampus comes (tiger tail seahorse)
Lineage: Eukaryota; Metazoa; Chordata; Actinopteri; Syngnathiformes; Syngnathidae
Exons: 2
Source: RefSeq, a predicted model, not a curated record